This 63-nucleotide transfer RNA is filed under the name Methylobacterium sp. Leaf88. Its description in RNAcentral is "tRNA-Asp". It matches the Rfam family "tRNA", at positions 1 to 60 of the family's 71-position model. Rfam says of the family: Transfer RNA (tRNA) molecules are approximately 80 nucleotides in length. The record is from RNAcentral. RNAcentral also lists the same sequence under 1 other name. Lineage: Bacteria; Pseudomonadati; Pseudomonadota; Alphaproteobacteria; Hyphomicrobiales; Methylobacteriaceae.
GCGGGCGUAGCUCAGUCGGUUAGAGUGCCGGCCUGUCACGCCGGAGGUCGCGGGUUCGAGUCC